Molecule: long non-coding RNA, 249 nt
Filed under: Lupinus angustifolius (narrow-leaved blue lupine)
Lineage: Eukaryota; Viridiplantae; Streptophyta; Magnoliopsida; Fabales; Fabaceae
Description: long non-coding RNA (LANG_LNC003644)
Source: RNAcentral
CCUUUCAAGCCGGAUUUUUUAUUUACUAGCUUAGCUAUCCUAGUAUAAUAAAGAGAAGGGGUAGACUGACUUAUUUUAUUGACAUAAGCUCCGGAAAGGAAGGAGGACAAGCGAAGUACUAUCGUAAAUAUAAAAAAAAUAGCUAGAAAAGCUCCUUAUCCUUAUAGGCUAAGUAGUUCCGUGAAAGCCUGCAGAGUAAAAGGCCUCUAGUGCUUAUAGGGACUCAGUUCAACAAAAGGACCCCUUCUU